UGCGCCUUGCCAGCCCGCUCAGAACUUAAAGGAAUUGACGGGGGCCCGCACAAGCGGAGGAACAUGUGGUUUAAUUCGAUGAUACGCGAGGAACCUUACCUGGGCUAGAACGCAUUCGGAAUCAGGCCCGAAAGGCCUGCGCCAGCGAUGGCCGCUUGCGAGGUGCUGCAUGGUUGUCGUCAGCUCGUGCCGUGAGGUGUCGGGUUAAGUCCCAUAACGAGCGCAACCCCUACUGCUAGUUGCCAGCGGGUCAUGCCGGGGACUCUAGCGGAACUGCCAGCGUAAGCUGCGAGGAAGGUGGGGAUGACGUCAAAUCAGCACGGCCCUUACGUCCAGGGCUACACACGUGUUACAAUGGCCGGUACAGAGGGCAGCCACCCCGCGAGGGGGCGCGAAUCCCGAAAGCCGGUCCCAGUUCGGAUCGGAGUCUGCAACCCGACUCCGUGAAGCUGGAUUCGCUAGUAAUCGCGCAUCAGCCACGGCGCGGUGAAUACGUUCCCGGGCCUU
This 507-nucleotide ribosomal RNA is filed under the name uncultured Rikenellaceae bacterium. RNAcentral's name for it is "bacterial SSU rRNA". It matches the Rfam family "Bacterial small subunit ribosomal RNA", at positions 903 to 1382 of the family's 1533-position model. Lineage: Bacteria; Pseudomonadati; Bacteroidota; Bacteroidia; Bacteroidales; Rikenellaceae. The record is from RNAcentral.